This 525-nucleotide ribosomal RNA is filed under the name Agriotes obscurus (dusky wireworm). RNAcentral describes it as "partial 16S ribosomal RNA". The stretch from base 389 to 525 matches the Rfam family "Bacterial large subunit ribosomal RNA", at positions 2473 to 2610 of the family's 2925-position model. The record is from RNAcentral. Lineage: Eukaryota; Metazoa; Arthropoda; Insecta; Coleoptera; Elateridae.
CAUGUCCUUUUGAUAAUAAUUUAAGGUCUGGUCUGCUCAAUGAAAAUUUAAAUUGCCGCGGUAUUCUGACCGUGCAAAGGUAGCAUAAUAAUUAGUUUUUUUAUUGAAAGCUGGAAUGAAUGAUUGGACGAGAAAACAACUGUCUCUUUAAAAAUUUUUGUUUAAUUUAACUUUUAAGUAAGAAGGCUUAGAUAUUUAUUAAAGACGAGAAGACCCUAUAGAGUUUUAUAUUUAUUGAGUAAUAAUUUAUUUGGAAUUUUUUAUUUUUUUAUUUUUUAAUUAUUUGGUUGGGGUGACUAAAAGAUUUAUUAAACUCUUUUAAUUUUGUUAUCAUUGAUUUGUGAAUUGAUUAUCUAGAUUUUUUAAAUUUAAGAUAAAUUACCUUAGGGAUAACAGCGUAAUUUCUUUUUAGAGUUCUUAUCAAUAAAGAAGUUUGCGACCUCGAUGUUGGAUUAAAAUUUAUUUUUGGUGCAAAAGCUUAAAAAUUAAGUCUGUUCGACUUUUAAAAUUUUACAUGAUCUGAGU